This 2180-nucleotide long non-coding RNA is filed under the name Vombatus ursinus (common wombat). RNAcentral describes it as "lncRNA (ENSVURG00010002885.1)". Lineage: Eukaryota; Metazoa; Chordata; Mammalia; Diprotodontia; Vombatidae. The record is from RNAcentral.
AGCUACCAGCGGUGGAGAAGAGUGGAAGGUGGGUACUGCGCUGAGCCGAGAAGUCUGAGACCGAGGCUGCCACAGCCUAAGCAGGUCAGGGAGAGAAAGAAGGCGUGAGGCCGCAGCUGAAGUGGGGCAGGAAAGAGAAGGGAGCUGAGGCCCAGGCUGAGUGUGCACAGCUGCCUCUGAAGAUGGAGGUCAUGGGUGGACAGGCCCCUGCCGGGGCUGGAGGUCUGGCAGCCGUAAACAUGGGGCCUGAAGCCCUCAUCCUGGCUGUGGCAGUGGCUGGAGCUGGAGGGGGGCCGUCGCCUACGACCGGGAGCGGAUCGAGCCCAGAGACCGAUACAUGGACAUGGACAUGGACUUGGAAGGGGGAGUGGUCAGGGCAGGAUAUAGCACUAGGCCCCACGUUGGCCGCUCUGUUGCUGCUAUACGCUGCGUUGUGGGCUAGUGUAGUAGAGCUGAGAUGGAGGGUCCUGGAUCUGGCUCAGCAGCAGGAAGAGGAACCAGACCAAGAGGCAGGGGCAGACGAAAGAGCAGAGACAAGGGCAGAGGCAGAGGCAGUGGCAGAAGCAAAGGAGGUGCGGGAGCGGGAGACUGAGCAGGAGCCGGAGCUCAAACAUAAGCGAGAUGCAGCACCCGAGAUAGAGACGGAGUCUGAGGCCGAGGCAGAGGCAGAAGCAGAGCUGGAGGAGCUCCGGGAGCCUUCGGGUGCUUGGGGCCCAAAGGAGCCUGCAUCUUUAUGUGAGAUCGGGCCCUGGACCAAUGUGCCUGUACUGGGGGUGGGUGCCCGCCCUGUGGGACUAGCCGGUGUAGUGGUUGCUGUCCGCUCGGGUCUGGUGCUGAAACUGACGACAUUGCACGCAAGAGCAGGGGGUUUGCUGCUGUCCCGCUCACAGCAAGUGAUCUUCGAUGAGGGCAGCAUUCGUUCCCUGCGUCCUUUGGGAGUGGAUUCGGUCCGCAUGAACAACUGCUGGAACAAAGGACGCUUCUUCCCUCGGCUAGGAGCCUUCCAAGAGCACCUGCUUAACCUACUGCAGCAGGAGGCUCGCCAAGCAAGGACCAACAUUCUCGUCUUCCUGGACAACAAGGCAAUGAAGAAAAUCUACCAUUGGGUUUUCAAUGCCUACAAAAUGGAUGGCAAUCCAAAAGUGAGUGGCUUGUCACUCCAGCAGCUCCUUGAGAUUUUGCUGUCUUGUAAGAAGAUCACAGCUACCUAUAUUAAGAGGAACAACAUUGCUGUCAUGGUGGAGGGAGAAGAUGCACAUCUUCUCAACUUUGAUACUGGGUAUGGUGUGAAUCUUGGACAGAGGGGCCUGGAAUCAAGUGAAGAAUUAGCCACCAACAUGGCAACAGCUGGGGAUCCCAGAGAUGUUUUCCAACCUUUGUCAGCUAACACUAAAAAGUCCAGAGAAAUUGUUGAAGAUCCUAAAAGUGAUGGGCUCUUUGGUGCUCACUUUGAGUAAAAAGGAGCAAGGAGAACAGGUCUUCCAUAAAGGGCAGAUCUAUCUAGCCAAGAUUCUUGCAAAAUUCUCCAAAGUUAGUCAAAAUGCUACUAGUGAGUAAAAGGUGUUAUCAUGGUUCCAUGCCUUUAAAUGCAGGCCAAAAGAAAAAUGAGUUAUAAAAUAUAAGAUUCCAAUGAACUGUCAAGUUCACACACAGGAAGAAAACACACAGACACACACACACACACACACACACACACACACACACACACUCCACUGUUCUACUUAGUAUUCACUGGGUUACCUAGGGAUAAAAAAAAAUGCAGCAUUUGAUCCCUUAGGAUUUUCACAAGAAAAAGUGAGGUACUAGGGUCUGUCCCCCCCAUGCUUGUAAAGGUAUCAUCUUAGAAUGUCAGAGUAGGAAGGGAUCUUUAUAACAUAGAAAACAGAAUGUGAGAACUGGGAGGGACCUCAGAACAUAGUAUAGAGGAUGCCACAUUUUGGAGGGAUCUUAGAGAGGUUCCAUUAGAGAAGUCUGCAGUUAGCUUUAGUGUCUCUCUUCAAAUAUGUGCCAAAAUAAGGAAUGGAGACUGUACUUGUGUAUCAAUUCCCUUCAUGAAUGCACUAUGAGUCACCCCAUUAGAGAAAUGUUGAUUGUGUAUGAUCCUAUAAAAAAUGUCCCUCUCUAAUGCAUAGUUAUUUAAGUGAUAUUAUUGUUUCCUAUAUAGUAUAUGAAUAUUGUUG